UACGGGGGGAGCAAGCGUUGUUCGGAUUUACUGGGCGUAAAGGGCGCGUAGGCGGCCACCGCAAGUCAGUUGUGAAAGCUCUGGGCUUAACCCAGAAAGGUCAACUGAUACUGCGGGGCUAGAGUGCAGAAGGGGCAACUGGAAUUCUCGGUGUAGCGGUGAAAUGCGUAGAUAUCGAGAGGAACACCCGCGGCGAAGGCGGGUUGCUGGGCUGACACUGACGCUGAAGUGCGAAAGCUAGGGGAGCGAACGGG
RNAcentral lists this ribosomal RNA (254 nucleotides) under uncultured bacterium. RNAcentral's name for it is "partial 16S ribosomal RNA". It matches the Rfam family "Bacterial small subunit ribosomal RNA", at positions 524 to 776 of the family's 1533-position model. The record is from RNAcentral.